AUUGAACGCUGGCGGCAGGCCUAACACAUGCAAGUCGAGCGGAGCGGCGGACGGGUGAGUAAUGCCUAGGAAUCUGCCUGGUAGUGGGGGAUAACGUCCGGAAACGGGCGCUAAUACCGCAUACUAUCAGAUGAGCCCAAGUGGGAUUAGGUAGUUGGUGAGGUAAAGGCUCACCAAGCCGACGAUCUCUAGCUUGUCUGAGAGGAUGACCAGCGACACGGGGACUGGGACACGGACCAGACAACUACGGGAAGCAGCAGUGGGGAAUAUUGCGCAAUGUGCGCAACCCUUACGCAGCCAGGCCGCGUGAAUGAAGAAGGCCUUCGGGUUGUAAAUUUCUUGCGGUAGAGAUGCGUUAACUACAGAAGAAGCACCGGCGAACUCCGUGCCAGCAGCCGCGGUAAUAC
This 407-nucleotide ribosomal RNA is filed under the name uncultured bacterium. RNAcentral's name for it is "partial 16S ribosomal RNA". It matches the Rfam family "Bacterial small subunit ribosomal RNA", at positions 30 to 526 of the family's 1533-position model. The record is from RNAcentral.